UGAUAUACAGGAUGAAAAGCGUGGGGC
This 27-nucleotide small RNA is filed under the name Bombyx mori (domestic silkworm). Its description in RNAcentral is "ovarian small RNA-32504". Lineage: Eukaryota; Metazoa; Arthropoda; Insecta; Lepidoptera; Bombycidae. The record is from RNAcentral.